UUUCUGGUUUUUGUUAACCGGAGUUUAUUACAAUAUUUCUCAACUGAAACGGUCAACUUUGUCAACCCUACAUUUCAUGAUUUUCCAUGAGGACCAAAAAUAAAAUAAAAAAAUGUUGGAAUGUCCAAAAACAAGAAAGGCAAAUCACGAGGGACGUAUACUGUAAUUAUUUACAUCAACCAAAUUUAUAUAUCUGUAGAAUCAAAGAAUCA
RNAcentral lists this long non-coding RNA (212 nucleotides) under Erythranthe guttata (spotted monkey flower). RNAcentral describes it as "long non-coding RNA (EGUT_LNC003611)". Lineage: Eukaryota; Viridiplantae; Streptophyta; Magnoliopsida; Lamiales; Phrymaceae. The record is from RNAcentral.